Long non-coding RNA from Cloeon dipterum, 2156 nucleotides. RefSeq lists it as uncharacterized. The transcript is spliced from 3 exons. Lineage: Eukaryota; Metazoa; Arthropoda; Insecta; Ephemeroptera; Baetidae. The record is from RefSeq and is a predicted model, not a curated record.
CAUCUUUUCGACAAAUUCUGUGCGAAAUUUCGCGAAUUCGCCAAUUUCUGGGAAGGCAAAGAUUUGAAAGAAGGAAAAACAGUACACUUUUCCACUGCUUUUCAGAAAGGCUUCCUAAUUCGUUCGAGAGUGCAACCAGCAUUAAUGUCAGCGGGCUUUAAAGUUACUGAUACAUUUGCCAACUUCGCCUUCAAAAGAUUCAAGGAAAAAGAACAUCCUGGAGCUGUAUCUCUCAACGGCUUCGUGGCAAUUUGCCUUACUUUUUUGCACUCCGACAUGGUUCAUAGAUUGCAAGAUCAGACGAUGGACUCCUAAGACACCUUGCCACAUUGCAGUUCAAGCUAGGGGCGGAUUACGGCACGGAAUUUUAGCUCGACCUUGAAGCAUUGUAGCCAUAUAUGCCCAGCGUUGCCAUUUUCUACCAAGGUAGGGGUAAUAAAAAACAGUGCCGUAAUCUGCCCCCUAGUCAUCGCCAAUUGUUUUUAAUGUAAAUCGACUAGUAUAUGGUCAAAUUCACCCUCCAGUCCCAACUUGUUCCGCUCGACCGAGGCGUACCCCGGCCCCGACGCCACUCCUGAGUGAGAGCAAAUCUGCGCUCUGUCCCUGCUCCGGGGCGAAAGUUACCGUACCUUUGCACCCUCCGAGGAUCCGGCAACACCACGAAGUGCGGCCCCGACACAACUUUCUGGCUAAAUACGUGGAUUCGGCAACUAUAGGGGGGCGGCUGACCGAAGUUCGGGGGUAGCUACGGUGAUGCAGCCGCCCCACGGGGGUGCCCGACCCAACUUUCCGGCUAGCAACGGGGAUUCGGUAACUCUACGGGGGGCGGCUUACCCGAUUUUUGGGCGACCUACGGGGAUGCGGCUACCUUAGGGAGUUCGGUCCUGACCCAACUCUGGAGGUGAGUGCACCUCCGUCACCCUCGGAGGAUCCGGCAACCCUAAGCGGCGCGGCCCUGACCCAACUCCGGGGUGAAAGCGAGUCCACGCGGCUUACCAUUGAGGGAUGUGGCAACCUUAAGGGGGCGGCCUACGGGAAAUUUGCUAGGACUCCUAGGGGGGUUGCCGACUCGAGUUUAAAGAUAGCUACGAUGAUAUGCGUUGGCCCCACGGGGGCGCCUGACCUAAAUUUCUGGCUAACAAUUGGGAUUUGGCAACCCUAAGGGGGCAACUAACAGACGUUUGGGGACGUCUACGAUGAUGCGGCCGCCCUACGGGUGCGCCUCACCCAACUCUCUGGCUAACAAUGGGGAUUCGGCAACUCUAGCGGGGCAGCUGACUGAAGUUUGGGUAUAUCUACGGAGAUGCGGCCGCGCUAACCCGAUUUUAUCCUACGUCCGCGGAAAGCAACGGCGACGCUCCUUUCGGAGCCCCGCGGUGCCCCUUUUCCGCGAUCUGCGACCCCGGGUCCCUAUGAUCGUCCGGUUCGCCUCGAUCGCCUCCACCACCUUCGCAAAUCUCGCCUCGAUCCGACGACCCGCCCCGUGGGUGCCCCUCGUUCGCGGGGCUCCCGAGCGCCCCUCGGACGACACCGGGCUCCCGCGAUGACGGCGCCUAACUCCACGACCCCCGCGCUACGGCCCACGCGAAUUUCGGCCCGAUCGCCCGAGCCGUUCCAAAGCCGACCCCGGGGGCGCCGUCUUCGGAGCCCCGCCGCGCCUCUUUCCCGCGCUCGGCGACCCCGGGUCCCUAUGCUCGUCCGGCUCGCCUCGGCCGCCUGCGCUGCCCCCGCGAAUCUCGCGCCGAUCCGCCGACCCACCCCGUGGGUGCCCCUCUUUCGGGGGGCUCCCGAAUGCCCCUAAGACUUUUGCGGACUCCCGCGACGACGGCGCCUCGCUGCGCAAUCCCAGCGCUACGCCCCACGCGAAUCUCAGCCCGAUCAGCAGGGCCGUUCCCGAGCCACCCCCGGGGGCGGCAACUUCGGGGCCCUGCCGCGCUCCUUUCCCGCGCUCGGCGACCCCAGGUCCCUAUGCUCGUCCGGCUCGCCUCGACCGCCUCCUCCACCCCUGAAAAUCUCGCGCCGAUCCGCCGACACACCCCGUGGGCGCUCCCGGUUCGCGGGGCUCCCGGGCGCCCCGCGGACUUUUGCGGGGCGAACGGACCCUUGCGGUGGCCUCCCGGGUUGCCGUGGAACCCGCCCGCCGAAUUUCGGCACGA